RNAcentral lists this ribosomal RNA (442 nucleotides) under uncultured bacterium. RNAcentral's name for it is "partial 16S ribosomal RNA". It matches the Rfam family "Bacterial small subunit ribosomal RNA", at positions 338 to 795 of the family's 1533-position model. The record is from RNAcentral.
CCUACGGGAGGCUGCAGUGGGGAAUCUUUCACAAUGGGCGAAAGCCUGAUGGAGCAACGCCGCGUGCAGGAUGAAGGCCUUCGGGUUGUAAACUGCUUUUGUAAGCGAGAAAUAUGAUGGUAGCUUAUGAAUAAGGAUCGACUAACAACGUGCCAGCAGCCGCCGUCAUACGUAGGAUCCGGGCAUUAUCCGGAGUGACUGGGUGGAAAGAGUGGCGUAGGUGGCAUAAUAAGUAGCGAGUGAAAUCUGGUGGGUAAACCAUUCAGACUACUAGUUAAACUGUUAUGCUCGAGACCGGUAGGGGUAACUGGAAUUUCUAGUGUAGGAGUGAAAUCCGUAGAUAUUAGAAGGAACACCAAUAGCGUAGGCAGGCUACUGGGACGGUUCUGACACUAAGGCACGAAAGCGUAGGGAGCAAACGGGAUUAGAUACCCGUGUAGUC